CUGCUCGCCCCGCCCCCCGCACGUCGCGCGCAGGCUCCGCCCUCCCGCUACGGGUGACCUGCCAGCCAUGGUGAACCUGGGCCUGUCCCGGGUGGACGUCGCCGUGGCCGCCAAGCACCCGGGGCUGGGGGAGUACGCCGCGUGCCAGUCGAAGGCCUUCGUGAAGGGCAUUUUCAGCUUUGUCGCAGGUAGGCUGGGUCCAGACGUCCUGGGGUCCGGACAGACCUCACCUUCCCGUCUCACCCGAGUGCCCAGCAGGUGCCGUCCGGUCCCCGUCCUCGGAGGCUGGGAGCCUGACCGCUGCUGUGGGCGCCCAGGCGGUGGACAGGCUGGCCGAUGGGGACCUUGGCUCUGGCAGGCACCGGCGCCGCCUUCGGCCUGCAGAUGUUCGUCCGGAGGAAGUUCCCGUACCCCUUCCAGUGGCACGUGCUCGUGGCCGUGGUUACAGGCUCGGUGGCCAGCUACUGGGUGACCCGAGUGGAGUCGCACAGAUGCAGCAACCUCUGGCUCUUCCUGGAGACGGGGCAGCUCCCCGAAGACAGGGGCGCAGAUCGGCACAGCUAGGAGAGCUCCAGCUGGGGCGCAGAAGACUUGGGGCCGAAGACUUCUAGAACAUAGCCCUCAGGGCCUCGUCACCUCAGGCUUGCCCUGCCCCCUUACACAGGCCCUCCUCACACCCUAAGGUGACCCAGCGGUGUCCCCUGCGGACAGUCAUGGGAGGUCUGCCAACCCUGUGCAAACCUUUGCUACUGCCCAGGUCACACCAGAGGGGCUGUCCCUGCAGUGGUUGGCCUCCCAGAGGGCAGUGAGAAACAUGGUGGACGCUGAGAGCUGGAGAGCAUCAGAGAGGCCCUGGGCACUUGGUGGAAGGGACUUCUGCAGGCCCUGGUGCUCUGACACUCCCUGUCUGGCCCUGGCGUCCCCCACAGUCCGAGGGGACAGCUGCUGCAGGGGCAUGCUGCACAAAUAAAUGCUUUGCCUUUUCCCA
Lutra lutra (Eurasian river otter) is the source of this 988-nucleotide RNA transcript. It is a transcript of the gene named transmembrane protein 141, with no coding region annotated. The record is from RefSeq and is a predicted model, not a curated record. NCBI's taxonomy places the organism in Eukaryota, Metazoa, Chordata, Mammalia, Carnivora, Mustelidae. The transcript is spliced from 4 exons.